GAUAAACGCUGGCGGCGUGCAUGAGACAUGCAAGUCGAACGGACACUUGGGGCUUGCUCCAAGUGUUAGUGGCGGACGGCUGAGUAACGCGUAGGUGACCUGCCCCGAAGUGGGGAAUAACUGCCCGAAAGGGUGGCUAAUACCGCAUGUGGUGGUGUGUUCAUUCACACCAGUAAAGCCGCAAGGCGCUUCGGGAGGGGCCUGCGUCCGAUUAGCUCGUUGGUGGGGUAACGGCUCACCAAGGCGACGAUCGGUAGGUGGUCUGAGAGGACGAUCACCCAGACUGGGACUGAGACACGGGCCCAGACUCCUACGGGAGGCAGCAGUCGGGAAUUUUUGCGCAAUGGACGAAAGUCUGACGCAGCAACGCCGCGUGAGGGAUGAAGGCCUUCGGGUUGUAAACC
Molecule: ribosomal RNA, 404 nt
Filed under: uncultured bacterium
Lineage: Bacteria
Description: bacterial SSU rRNA
Rfam family: Bacterial small subunit ribosomal RNA
Source: RNAcentral